GUUUCUGCCUCUUCUCCACGAUGUGCUCUGACAUCUCUCCCAGAGAGAAAGUGAGGAAAUGGCUAAUGACCUGGUGCUGUGAAGUGCUAAUGAGCCUUCCACGCACGGCAGCUGCUGGAGUCGAGGUGGCCUUGCAGGAAGGGCUGAAGAAUAGAUAUUCCCCCUCAAAAGUCCAGGUGAACUAUCACAUGUGCUCUCGACUGAAGAAACUACAAGCUUAGCCUGUGCCCAUCUCGGAACCUACUUCUGGACAGAAAAUGAACAUGAGAAUUUUUCAGCAACAGUUUAAUUGCAGGUGGAAUCUAGCUGGACAAAUGGGUUAAUCCUCAGAAUCUGCCAUGCUUCAGCAUUGCAUCCUGGCACUGUAUAAUUUCUGCCACGUUUGAGUGCCCAAGCACUGGGAGGUCAUUGGCAAGGAAAGCUUCUCAGUACAUCUUCACAUGGGGUCCAGUGAAGCAUAUUUUCAGAUAUGCAGUCAAAAAGCUGCUGAAGAACAACCACCCGUUCAGAUGUUACCGUGUUCCUUUGCCUUUGCUGCCACUUGUCAAGCUGGAAAUUAGGAAUGCUCCUUUUCCCGGAGAUCUGGCAUCCCGAGGAGUCCCCUGCAGUGGGGAAAACCUCCCUCCACGAAGCUCCAGGAAGAGGGACACCACGGAGUGCUCUUUUCAACAGCAAUGUGCAACUGAGGGCCAUAAAUGGCCUCUGGAUCUCCCACCAAGCCCCACGUUGGUCACCUUCCUCUCUCCAAC
Long non-coding RNA from Nothoprocta perdicaria, 749 nucleotides. RefSeq lists it as uncharacterized. The record is from RefSeq and is a predicted model, not a curated record. Lineage: Eukaryota; Metazoa; Chordata; Aves; Tinamiformes; Tinamidae. The transcript is spliced from 6 exons.